Molecule: ribosomal RNA, 2770 nt
Filed under: Klebsiella pneumoniae
Lineage: Bacteria; Pseudomonadati; Pseudomonadota; Gammaproteobacteria; Enterobacterales; Enterobacteriaceae
Description: bacterial LSU rRNA
Rfam family: Bacterial large subunit ribosomal RNA
Source: RNAcentral
CACUAUCGUUAACUGAAUACAUAGGUUAACGAGGCGAACCGGGGGAACUGAAACAUCUAAGUACCCCGAGGAAAAGAAAUCAACCGAGAUUCCCCCAGUAGCGGCGAGCGAACGGGGAGCAGCCCAGAGUCUGAAUCAGCUUGUGUGUUAGUGGAACGGUCUGGAAAGUCCGACGGUACAGGGUGAUAGUCCCGUACACCAAAAUGCACAGGUUGUGAACUCGAAGAGUAGGGCGGGACACGUGGUAUCCUGUCUGAAUAUGGGGGGACCAUCCUCCAAGGCUAAAUACUCCUGACUGACCGAUAGUGAACCAGUACCGUGAGGGAAAGGCGAAAAGAACCCCGGCGAGGGGAGUGAAAAAGAACCUGAAACCGUGUACGUACAAGCAGUGGGAGCACCUUCGGGUGUGACUGCGUACCUUUUGUAUAAUGGGUCAGCGACUUAUAUUCUGUAGCAAGGUUAACCGUAUAGGGGAGCCGCAGGGAAACCGAGUCUUAACUGGGCGUUAAGUUGCAGGGUAUAGACCCGAAACCCGGUGAUCUAGCCAUGGGCAGGUUGAAGGUUGGGUAACACUAACUGGAGGACCGAACCGACUAAUGUUGAAAAAUUAGCGGAUGACUUGUGGCUGGGGGUGAAAGGCCAAUCAAACCGGGAGAUAGCUGGUUCUCCCCGAAAGCUAUUUAGGUAGCGCCUCGUGAAUUCAUCUUCGGGGGUAGAGCACUGUUUCGGCUAGGGGGUCAUCCCGACUUACCAACCCGAUGCAAACUACGAAUACCGAAGAAUGUUAUCACGGGAGACACACGGCGGGUGCUAACGUCCGUCGUGAAGAGGGAAACAACCCAGACCGCCAGCUAAGGUCCCAAAGUCAUGGUUAAGUGGGAAACGAUGUGGGAAGGCACAGACAGCCAGGAUGUUGGCUUAGAAGCAGCCAUCAUUUAAAGAAAGCGUAAUAGCUCACUGGUCGAGUCGGCCUGCGCGGAAGAUGUAACGGGGCUAAACCAUGCACCGAAGCUGCGGCAGCGACACUAUGUGUUGUUGGGUAGGGGAGCGUUCUGUAAGCCUGCGAAGGUGACCUGUGAGGGUUGCUGGAGGUAUCAGAAGUGCGAAUGCUGACAUAAGUAACGAUAAAGCGGGUGAAAAGCCCGCUCGCCGGAAGACCAAGGGUUCCUGUCCAACGUUAAUCGGGGCAGGGUGAGUCGACCCCUAAGGCGAGGCCGAAAGGCGUAGUCGAUGGGAAACAGGUUAAUAUUCCUGUACUUGGUGUUACUGCGAAGGGGGGACGGAGAAGGCUAUGUUAGCCGGGCGACGGUUGUCCCGGUUUAAGCAUGUAGGCUGGUUAUCCAGGCAAAUCCGGAUAAUCAAGGCUGAGGUGUGAUGACGAGGCACUACGGUGCUGAAGUAACAAAUGCCCUGCUUCCAGGAAAAGCCUCUAAGCAUCAGGUAACAUCAAAUCGUACCCCAAACCGACACAGGUGGUCAGGUAGAGAAUACCAAGGCGCUUGAGAGAACUCGGGUGAAGGAACUAGGCAAAAUGGUGCCGUAACUUCGGGAGAAGGCACGCUGGUGUGUAGGUGAAGUCCCUGCGGAUGGAGCUGAGACCAGUCGAAGAUACCAGCUGGCUGCAACUGUUUAUUAAAAACACAGCACUGUGCAAACACGAAAGUGGACGUAUACGGUGUGACGCCUGCCCGGUGCCGGAAGGUUAAUUGAUGGGGUUAUCCGUAAGGAGAAGCUCUUGAUCGAAGCCCCGGUAAACGGCGGCCGUAACUAUAACGGUCCUAAGGUAGCGAAAUUCCUUGUCGGGUAAGUUCCGACCUGCACGAAUGGCGUAAUGAUGGCCAGGCUGUCUCCACCCGAGACUCAGUGAAAUUGAACUCGCUGUGAAGAUGCAGUGUACCCGCGGCAAGACGGAAAGACCCCGUGAACCUUUACUAUAGCUUGACACUGAACAUUGAGCCUUGAUGUGUAGGAUAGGUGGGAGGCUUUGAAGCGUGGACGCCAGUCUGCGUGGAGCCAACCUUGAAAUACCACCCUUUAAUGUUUGAUGUUCUAACGUUGGCCCCUGACCGGGGUUGCGGACAGUGUCUGGUGGGUAGUUUGACUGGGGCGGUCUCCUCCCAAAGCGUAACGGAGGAGCACGAAGGUUAGCUAAUCCUGGUCGGACAUCAGGAGGUUAGUGCAAUGGCAUAAGCUAGCUUGACUGCGAGCGUGACGGCGCGAGCAGGUGCGAAAGCAGGUCAUAGUGAUCCGGUGGUUCUGAAUGGAAGGGCCAUCGCUCAACGGAUAAAAGGUACUCCGGGGAUAACAGGCUGAUACCGCCCAAGAGUUCAUAUCGACGGCGGUGUUUGGCACCUCGAUGUCGGCUCAUCACAUCCUGGGGCUGAAGUAGGUCCCAAGGGUAUGGCUGUUCGCCAUUUAAAGUGGUACGCGAGCUGGGUUUAGAACGUCGUGAGACAGUUCGGUCCCUAUCUGCCGUGGGCGCUGGAGAAUUGAGGGGGGCUGCUCCUAGUACGAGAGGACCGGAGUGGACGCAUCACUGGUGUUCGGGUUGUCAUGCCAAUGGCACUGCCCGGUAGCUAAAUGCGGAAGAGAUAAGUGCUGAAAGCAUCUAAGCACGAAACUUGCCCCGAGAUGAGUUCUCCCUGAGACUUUAAGUCUCCUGAAGGAACGUUGAAGACGACGACGUUGAUAGGCCGGGUGUGUAAGCGCAGCGAUGCGUUGAGCUAACCGGUACUAAUGAACCGUGAGGCUUAACCUUACAACGCCGAAG